Molecule: ribosomal RNA, 557 nt
Filed under: uncultured Sphingomonas sp.
Lineage: Bacteria; Pseudomonadati; Pseudomonadota; Alphaproteobacteria; Sphingomonadales; Sphingomonadaceae
Description: bacterial SSU rRNA
Rfam family: Bacterial small subunit ribosomal RNA
Source: RNAcentral
ACGGGUGCGUAACGCGUGGGAAUCUGCCCCUUGGUUCGGAAUAACAGUUGGAAACGACUGCUAAUACCGGAUGAUGACGUAAGUCCAAAGAUUUAUCGCCGAGGGAUGAGCCCGCGUAGGAUUAGGUAGUUGGUGUGGUAAAGGCGCACCAAGCCGACGAUCCUUAGCUGGUCUGAGAGGAUGAUCAACCACACUGGGACUGAGACACGGCCCAGACUCCUACGGGAGGCAGCAGUGAGGAAUAUUGGACAAUGGGCGCAAGCCUGAUCCAGCAAUGCCGCGUGAGUGAUGAAGGCCUUAGGGUUGUAAAGCUCUUUUACCCGGGAUGAUAAUGACAGUACCGGGAGAAUAAGCUCCGGCUAACUCCGUGCCAGCAGCCGCGGUAAUACGGAGGGAGCUAGCGUUAUUCGGAAUUACUGGGCGUAAAGCGCACGUAGGCGGCUUUGUAAGUAAGAGGUGAAAGCCCAGAGCUCAACUCUGGAAUUGCCUUUUAGACUGCAUCGCUUGAAUCAUGGAGAGGUCAGUGGAAUUCCGAGUGUAGAGGUGAAAUUCGUAGG